AGAGUUUGAUCCUGGCUCAGGACGAACGCUGGCGGCGUGCUUAACACAUGCAAGUCGAACGGAGGUUAUUUUGAAACUUAGUGAUAAAUAACCUUAGUGGCGGACGGGUGAGUAACGCGUGGAUAACCUGCCUACAUGACCUGGACAACACCGGGAAACUGGUGCUAAUACCGGAUACGCUCUUAGGAGUACAUGCUUUUGAGAGGAAAGGAGCAAUCCGCAGGUAGAUGGGUCCGCGUCCCAUUAGCUAGUUGGGGGUGUAAGAGACCACCAAGGCGACGAUGGGUAGCCGGCCUGAGAGGGUGGACGGCCACACUGGAACUGAGACACGGUCCAGACUCCUACGGGAGGCAGCAGUGGGGAAUCUUCCGCAAUGGGCGAAAGCCUGACGGAGCAACGCCGCGUGAGUGAAGAAGGCUUUCGGGUCGUAAAACUCUGUCUUCAGGGAAGAAAAAAAUGACGGUACCUGAGGAGGAAGCCCCGGCUAACUACGUGCCAGCAGCCGCGGUAAAACGUAGGGGGCGAGCGUUGUCCGGAAUUACUGGGCGUAAAGGGCGCGUAGGCGGUCAUUUAAGUCAGAGGUGAAAACUACCGGCUCAACCGGUAGCCUGCCUUUGAAACUGGAUGACUUGAGGGCAGGAGAGGGGAGUGGAAUUCCCAGUGUAGCGGUGAAAUGCGUAGAUAUUGGGAGGAACACCAGAGGCGAAGGCGGCUCUCUGGCCUGUUUCUGACGCUGAGGCGCGAAAGCGUGGGGAGCGAACGGGAUUAGAUACCCCGGUAGUCCACGCCGUAAACGAUGGGUGCUAGGUGUAGGAGGUAUCGACCCCUUCUGUGCCGUAGCUAACGCAAUAAGCACCCCGCCUGGGGAGUACGGCCGCAAGGUUGAAACUUAAAGGAAUUGACGG
Molecule: ribosomal RNA, 905 nt
Filed under: uncultured Pelotomaculum sp.
Lineage: Bacteria; Bacillati; Bacillota; Clostridia; Eubacteriales; Desulfotomaculaceae
Description: SSU rRNA
Rfam family: Bacterial small subunit ribosomal RNA
Source: RNAcentral